Long non-coding RNA from Homo sapiens (human), 741 nucleotides. NCBI's taxonomy places the organism in Eukaryota, Metazoa, Chordata, Mammalia, Primates, Hominidae. The record is from Ensembl.
GAUUCCUUCAGAGAUGAGAGGCUGCAGCCAUCCUUCGAGAUGUUGGGACCGGAGACCCUGCAGGCUGGCUGGGCAUUGAUGCCCCAGAUGUGAAGGGGCAGCCAACCUGUUGGCCACGUCUGACCCUUCCUGAGCAAAUGACACCAACAUCUCUUUCGUGAGAAGAAAGAGAGGAGGGAAGAUGCUCUGUGAUGCUGCCAGUAAUGCUGACCAGUCGUGGUGCUGUCACCUCCUUGGCUGUCUUUGCAAUCUGUUCCCAACUGAGGUUUCCAUUGCAGUGUAACUGACCACUCCAGGGGCCACUGAGGGCUGUCAGGAUGAGCUAUCCCUCCACCCCAGGCUGUCACUGCCAGCAAGAAGUUGCAGCUGAAGGAUGUGGUCCAUGAGAGAUCCCAGGGCAUGGACCAGAGGCAGAAAGAGGAUCUUGUCAGUAACCUCAAAAACUCGGAUUAGGUCCUGAAUUUACAUCUCUGGUCUUUGGUUUAGGUUUGUAAUUAAAAGAUGAAAGCACUUGGCUUCCUUGCAUAAGCGACUUUGGUUUUGCCAUGGCUGUCUACCUGUGUUGGCCAACAUGGCAGCCCCGAGUCACAUGAGGCUCCUGAGCAUAGGGAACCAGGCUCAUCUGAAGCGAGAUGCACUGCAAGAGUGAAGUACCCGCUGCAUCUGGGGGACUUAAUGCAUGCAAAAGAACAUGAAAUACCUCAUCCAUAUUUUUGGUAUUGAUGACGUGUUGAAAUAAUA